AAGUCCUCUGAUCAGCCCUGUAGGGCUGAUCAGAGAGACUCCUCUCCCACAAUCUCCAGUCCACUGGAGAUUGUGUCCCAGCUGCCAGAGGCAGCUUCAGGGACAGGGAGACAGGGCUCUUUGGUCUCCACAUUAGUUUAACCCCUACCCCCCCCUCUUCCUCAAUUAACCCCUUCAAUGCUGCGAUUGUUUAUGACCCCCAUCGCAGCAUUGCAGGGGUUAAUAUUAGUCCCCACAAGCUUGUGGGGACUAAAUAUCAAUCAAUGCUGUGCUUCAAUGGAGCAUCAGCAUUGAAAGAGUUAAAAAAAAAAAAAUUAAAAAAUAA
Molecule: long non-coding RNA, 325 nt
Organism: Spea bombifrons (plains spadefoot toad)
Lineage: Eukaryota; Metazoa; Chordata; Amphibia; Anura; Pelobatidae
Exons: 2
Source: RefSeq, a predicted model, not a curated record